Molecule: ribosomal RNA, 473 nt
Filed under: uncultured Anaerolineaceae bacterium
Lineage: Bacteria; Bacillati; Chloroflexota; Anaerolineae; Anaerolineales; Anaerolineaceae
Description: bacterial SSU rRNA
Rfam family: Bacterial small subunit ribosomal RNA
Source: RNAcentral
AAACUUAAAUGAAUUGACGGGUCCCCGCACAAGCAGCGGAGCGUGUGGUUUAAUUCGUUGCUACACGAAGAACCUUACCUGGGUUUGACAUAGCAGUGGUAGGGAAGCGAAAGCGGACCGGCCCUUCGGGGAGCUGUUACAGGUGUUGCAUGGCUGUCGUCAGCUCGUGUCGUGAGAUGUUCGGUUAAGUCCGCUAACGAGCGCAACCCGCGUUGUGUGUUACAAGUGUCACACAAUACCGCCGGUAUUAAGUCGGAGGAAGGUGCGGAUGACGUCAAGUCAGCAUGACCUUUAUAUCCAGGGCUACACACACGCUACAAUGGUCGGCACAAUAGGUUGCCAAGUCGUGAGACGGAGCCAAUCCUCCAAAGUCGGCCUCAGUUCAGAUUGCAGGCUGCAACUCGCCUGCAUGAAGUUGGAGUUGCUAGUAAACGCAGGUCAGCUAUACUGCGUUGAAUACGUUCCCGGGGAUU